GUAGAUAUCAGGAAGAAUACCAAUGGCGAAAGCAGCUCUCUAGCCUAAUUCUGACGCUGAGGUACGAAAGCUAGGGUAUCAAACGGGAUUAGAUACCCCGGUAGUCCUAGCUGUAAACGCUGGAUACUAGGUGUUGGGGGUUCAACUCCCUCGGUGCUGCAGUUAACGCGUUAAGUAUCCCGCCUGGGGAUUACGACCGCAAGGUUGAAACUCAAAGGAAUUGACGGGGGCCCGCACAAGCGGCGGAGCAUGUGGUUUAAUUCGAAGCAACGCGCAGAACAUUACCAGGGUUUGACAUCCUAUGACCAUCUGUGAAAGCAGAGUUUGACUCUUUGAGUCACAUAGUGACAGGUGGUGCAUGGCUGUCGUCAGCUCGUGUCGUGAGAUGUUGGGUUAAGUCCCGCAACGAGCGUAACCCCUGUCCUUAGUUGCCAGCACAUAAUGGUGGGGACUCUAAGGAGACUGCCAUAGAAAAAAUAUGGAGGAAGGUGGGGAUGACGUCAAGUCAUCAUGCCCCUUAUACUCUGGGCUACACACGUGCUACAAUGGUCUAAACAGAGGGUGGCGAGAUCGCGAGAUCAAGCUAAUCCCACAAAUUAGAUCUCAGUUCGGAUUGCAGAUUGCAAUUCACCUGCAUGAAGCUGGAGUCGCUAGUAAUCGUGGAUCAGAAUGCCACGGUGAAUAAGUUCUCGGGCCUUGUACACACCGCCCGUCACACCACCCGAGUUGGGGACACCAGAAGUCAUUUGCUUUUGCAAGUGCCGAAGGUGUGCCCGAUAAGGGGGGUGAAGUCGUAACAAGGUAGCCGUAGA
Molecule: ribosomal RNA, 812 nt
Filed under: uncultured bacterium
Lineage: Bacteria
Description: bacterial SSU rRNA
Rfam family: Bacterial small subunit ribosomal RNA
Source: RNAcentral